GUCUAUGGCCAUACCAUCCUGAAAAUAACCGAUCUCUUCUGGUCUCAGAAGCUAAGCAGGUCAGGCCUGGUUAAUACUUGGAUAGGAGACCACCAGGGAAUACCAGGUUAAAAAAA
RNAcentral lists this ribosomal RNA (116 nucleotides) under Propithecus coquereli (Coquerel's sifaka). The record is from RNAcentral. Lineage: Eukaryota; Metazoa; Chordata; Mammalia; Primates; Indriidae.